CCUACGGGUGGCAGCAGUGAGGAAUAUUGGUCAAUGGACGCAAGUCUGAACCAGCCAAGUAGCGUGCAGGAUGACGGCCCUCCGGGUUGUAAACUGCUUUUAGUUGGGAAUAAAAGGGGGCUCGUGAGCCCCGUAUUGUAUGUACCAUCAGAAAAAGGACCGGCUAAUUCCGUGCCAGCAGCCGCGGUAAUACGGAAGGUCCGGGCGUUAUCCGGAUUUAUUGGGUUUAAAGGGAGCGUAGGCCGGAUUUUAAGUCAGCUGUGAAAGUCCGCGGCUCAACCGUGGAAUUGCAGUUGAAACUGGGUGCCUUGAGUGGGCGAGAAGUAUGCGGAAUGCGUGGUGUAGCGGUGAAAUGCAUAGAUAUCACGCAGAACCCCGAUUGCGAAGGCAGCAUACCGGCGCCCUACUGACGCUGAGGCACGAAAGUGCGGGUAUCGAACAGGAUUAGAUACCCUUGUAGUC
This 462-nucleotide ribosomal RNA is filed under the name uncultured bacterium. RNAcentral's name for it is "partial 16S ribosomal RNA". It matches the Rfam family "Bacterial small subunit ribosomal RNA", at positions 338 to 795 of the family's 1533-position model. The record is from RNAcentral.